ACCAUCACCGCGGCUGCCUCAGAGCCGGCCUCCUCCCCCUCCUCCCCUCCCGUCGCCGCCGCCGCCGCCGCCUCCUCUUUCUCCGUCCCCUGCGCCACCUCCACACGACCCAGGCCCUCUGUCCCUGAGGAGAAGCCGUAUUAGGUCUCCUGCGCGGGCCCGGGGAGCAGCCAUGGCGGACGGCGGCGGCGGCGGCAGCGGGGGUACGGGCGCGGUGGGCGGCGGCGGAGCCGGCCAGGCCUCGGCGGGGGCGGGCACGGGCGCGCCGGGCACGGGCGGGAGUGGAGGCCCCAACAACCCGGCCUCGCUCCCUCCCGGCGACCCUCAGCUCAUCGCUCUCAUCGUGGAGCAGCUCAAGAGCCGGGGCCUGUUUGACAGCUUCCGCCGGGACUGCCUGGCCGACGUGGACACCAAGCCAGCUUACCAAAACCUGAGGCAGAAAGUGGAUAAUUUUGUGUCAACACAUCUGGACAAGCAGGAAUGGAAUCCUACGAUGAACAAAAACCAAUUGCGAAAUGGUCUGAGGCAGAGUGUGGUCCAGUCGGGGAUGUUGGAAGCAGGAGUGGACAGAAUAAUUUCUCAGGUGGUGGACCCCAAACUAAACCACAUCUUCAGACCCCAGAUAGAACGAGCGAUUCAUGAGUUCCUGGCGGCCCAGAAAAAAGCAGCAGUGCCAGCACCCCCUGCAGAGCCAGAAGGCCAAGACCCUCCAGCCCCGUCCCAGGACGCUUCCUAAGGUCUGGUGUCCCGUCUUUUGUCCAGGAGCAUUCAUCUCUGACUUAUAGAUAAAUGAAAUGCAUAGAAAAGGGAAUAUGCCUGACAUCUUUUGGAAGCUCCACUGAAUCAACGGUGAAGAAAUGGAUUCGGUUCAUAAUAGUACAACUUCAGAAUGAAGACAGGCCACGGUCGUCACUGAUUGUAGCCUUGUCUUUGGGGCAGGGUCCAGAUUGAACAGGGAGCACGUCUGACCUGUGUGCCCCUGCAUUGCACUGCCACCUGGCGAGCCUGUCUGAAGGGGUGACAGCCAGCAGACACUACAGAGAUCUGAAGAAACACUACAUCAACCUGCUGUUCUCCAGAAACAAACCUUGAUACUUGAACUUAGAGGUGCAUGUGGAUUUUGGGGUUUGUGCUGGGAAAUUAAAAAAGCUACAGUAAAGGAACAUAACCAGUCUCAAAGGUACGAUUUCUAAGAAUGAUAGUAAAGGUUAGCUGAGAGCGAGUUUUGACAGUGCUCAUUUGAUACCGUUUCUCAGUUACAAACUAGAAUGCACAAGCCACUAGCAUCAAAUAGCUUUAAGGUGUUGUGAUCCUGUUGUUCGUGAAUCUUGUAGCUUGUUUCCUUUCCCCUAAAAGGUGACAAAACACGGGACCCAGAAUGCAUGAGGAGGCGCAGACAUUAGAUAAAAGGAAACAUUUGCAGGCUCUCUGUCCAGGGCUUCUUCCUAUCCUGCAGGGAUAGGCAGUCUUGGGUGUGUUUAUUUUAUUCCCAUGUUUGUGUUUUUUAGAAAAGUGAAUGAUUAAUAAAUAGCUUAAGUUUUAUAAUAAAAUCA
RNA transcript from Rhinolophus ferrumequinum (greater horseshoe bat), 1553 nucleotides. It is a transcript of the gene named biorientation of chromosomes in cell division 1, with no coding region annotated. NCBI's taxonomy places the organism in Eukaryota, Metazoa, Chordata, Mammalia, Chiroptera, Rhinolophidae. The record is from RefSeq and is a predicted model, not a curated record. The transcript is spliced from 4 exons.